GUAUCCCUAAUUUUAGUGGCUUAUGAGUGAAACAUUUGAUCUUAGGCUUAGAGGCCUGCUCUAAGCUGGCUUUCACUGGUGAACUCUCUUUUAGACUGCAGCCAGUUGGAUAUGACUCUACAUUGUGGGUUUAUUUAGAGGACCAGGCAGAGGGACAAAGGAUACCUAGGAAGCUGUUAUGAUAUUGUGCUAGUUUGAAGAUAAUUGGCUCCCAUCAUCUCAUAGGAAGUGAUACUAUUAGGAGGUGAGUCUUGGUUGGAUUGGAUUGAGUAUGGCCUUGUUGGAGGAAGUGUAUCAUUGUAGGGGCUGGCUUUGAGGUUUUCUAUGCUCAGGAUACCUCCCAGUUGCUCACUUGACAUCUUGUUGCUUUCAAGAUAUAGUACUCUCAGCUAUUCCUCCAGCACCAUGUCAGCCUGCAUGCUGUCAUGCUCCCAGCCAUGAUAAAGGACUGAACUUCUGAAAUUUAAGAAGAGUGUAAAUUCCUGAAAGGUUAUGGAUACCAGAUUAACCUGAAGGAGAGGAAAUGGCAUAAGAAAGCUAAUCAUCUAGAACUAGAAGAAACCAUCCUGAGUGAGGUAACCCAGUCACAAAAAGAUAAACAUGGUCCAUUCGGCUGAAGUCCCUGAAUCUGCCAGGAAUAGGCCUCCACCUUGCCAGCCUGAAAGGUUCUAGAGACUCAACUCACGCCAACAAGCUUGUUCAGGCAUUUUAUCUCAACAACAGGAAAAGAUGCUAAGAUAGGAAAUGACAUAUCCAACUUCUGGUCACCUGCUAAAACAGCCUCGGAGAUGUGGUUCUGAUGUUAGCCCAGGAAGAAUGAAGAAUUAGCUUAACAAACAGCUAUUCUCUGUUGCUGCAUCCUAAUUCCUCAUGUGGGUUUCCAUUUCUAUUACUACACUGUAUAGUCCAGUCUGCCCUCAAACUCAUGAUCCUCCAGCCUCAAAAUCCUGAGUGCUGAGAUUGCAGGAAUAUGCCACCAUGUCCAUUUUGAUUAUUUAUGUAACUGAUGGGGAAUGUACUGUGUAUGUUUAUCUUAUUGAUUGUUAAAUAAAAUACUGUUUGGCCAAUGAGACAGGAAGUUAGACAGACUAGGAGUCAAAGAGGAUUCUGGGAAACGUAGUAGAGAAGUGUUGAUCCAGGCAGGAAAUGACAUAGCAAGGAGACUCAUAUUUAAGUGAAGGAGAAACAGGAAGGGUUCUCUUUCCCAUUCGCCUCCUCCACGGCAGGAUGUGAGCCACUGGCAAGGAGGGACGCCAAUAAGGCAUCCGAUAACAUAAGUCUUAUAAAAUAUAUAGAUUUAUGAUAAUUAAGACUGAGCUAACAGAUGAGGAAUCCUAGUCAUUGGCCAAGCAGCUUUGAACCUAAUACAA
Molecule: long non-coding RNA, 1370 nt
Filed under: Cricetulus griseus (Chinese hamster)
Lineage: Eukaryota; Metazoa; Chordata; Mammalia; Rodentia; Cricetidae
Description: lncRNA (ENSCGRG00015035988.1)
Source: RNAcentral